Molecule: ribosomal RNA, 450 nt
Filed under: uncultured organism
Description: partial 16S ribosomal RNA
Rfam family: Bacterial small subunit ribosomal RNA
Source: RNAcentral
CACUCCUACGGGAGGCAGCAGUGGGGAAUAUUGGACAAUGGGCGCAAGCCUGAUCCAGCCAUGCCGCGUGAGUGAUGAAGGCCCUAGGGUUGUAAAGCUCUUUCACCGGUGAAGAUAAUGACGGUAACCGGAGAAGAAGCCCCGGCUAACUUCGUGCCAGCAGCCGCGGUAAUACGAAGGGGGCUAGCGUUGUUCGGAUUUACUGGGCGUAAAGCGCACGUAGGCGGACUAUUAAGUCAGGGGUGAAAUCCCGGGGCUCAACCCCGGAACUGCCUUUGAUACUGGUAGUCUUGAGUUCGAGAGAGGUGAGUGGAAUUCCGAGUGUAGAGGUGAAAUUCGUAGAUAUUCGGAGGAACACCAGUGGCGAAGGCGGCUCACUGGCGCGAUACUGACGCUGAGGUGCGAAAGCGUGGGGAGCAAACAGGAUUAGAUACCCGAGUAGUCCCAUGA